UCACUUGCAGCUAAGGUAGAUUCACCAAAUUGGAGACAAUCUCUCGAUUGGGAGACAUCUCCUGAUCGGGAGACAUUUAACAAACAAAUAUACCUACUUUGUCACUGGAUGCAGAGACUGUCUCCCGAAUCAGCGAUAUAUUUUAGCAGUGGUGUCAUUUAACAAUCAUUGCGCAGAAAAAGAUUGCUUUGCGCCUUUUUAUAGUUGGACCAGCAGAGAGAUAUGAUAAGAUAAGAUAAUCUUUAUUCAGUGUCGGUUUUCACAAACAUGUAAACAUUAGCUAUAACAAGCUAGUUUCCGACAUAACAUGAUUAUCCUAUAACAAUACAAACAAACAAUCUAAAAGGAUAAGAAAAGUACAUGGUUAAGGCUAAGAUACAAAAUAAAAUUAAUGGUAAACAGUAAACAUUUUAAAGCACAUACAAGCUGGAAAAAAGCAGAUUGCUAAAACUCCUAAGCAUAAUAAAACUACUGUAUACUAUAAGCAAAAUUAUGAUUAUGUUAAUGCUAAAGUUACAAAUAUGUUAAUAAAUGGGAUAAAAAACAUUUUGUAUUAUUAUUCAUAAUCAAUAGUUAAGUCAAAAUAAAAUAAUUGGGAAGAUAAACAUAAAACAUAAAAUGGAAGCUUUCAUAUACAGAUAUAAUUGUGACACCCUAUUUACUAUGUGUAUAUGUCUGCAUCAGCAGCAGCUUUUCUGAUGCAGGCAUAUAAACAUAGUAAAUUAACAAAAAAGAACUAUUUACAUCUUUCUAGCAGAUAGAAUAUGCAUAAGAAAACAAAAGAAUAAAUGCAGCAGCAACAAAAGGGACAUCAGCUGACAAACUAAAGAAAUUAGUCUGAUGCAAAAAUAUAUGCACAAGGUUAAAAUGCAAAGAGAUAAGUUGCGUAGCGGGAAAAAUGAGGUUAGAAGUCAGUCGCUUUGCCGACAUUUACCGAGGAAAUUCUGAACUACGCACAUGAUGAAGGCCUAUGAAUAUCUAAAAAUGUCGAUCUUUUCCAGUUUUAAUGAACAGAAUUAUUCUUAAAUUGAAAUAUAAAUCCAAUAAACGACGAAAAAUGUUGAAGCAAGUUUUGUUUACAUCCCGCCAUGAUCCGCUGUUCUAAAUUCCGUACAGUCCGUAUAGGUAUGACUAACGGCUGGAUAUCGGAUCUGGGUGUGUACAAAAGAAUAAUGGGCUCCAGUUCAAAAAUAACAAUAUGAUCAAACACUUGCUUUAUUAAAACAACUCUUGCUAACAAGACUCAGUAUAAGGUUGUUUUUCUCAGAUGAUGUAUACAUGUAUUUGUACAAACCUGCAAUUUCCUUUUUACAGAGCUUGCUUUUAUUUCAUUAUUAUUAUACAUUUGUUGUAUCUGACUUAAUCUAAAGAUUCUUAUAUAUAUGUAUAUAUUGUUUUCCAUCUAAUAGUCUAUUACUAUUUAAACGAUCAUUUAUCUUUUUAGAUAAGCUGAUCACAACCAUGGACCAUGUGUACUCAGCUGCAGAGACAGAACUGGGUCAAGAGGUAGAGAUAGAGCUGCCCAACAGCACUGAGGCAAAUGUAACAGCUGCAGUUGAAAUUUUGGAUACUCAGCACGCUCAGAUUGAUGAAUGCACAAGUACAGGUAGUCAAUCCAUGAAAUCCAUGAGUACACAGCACCAUAAAGGCCCAAUCAACCUGGGAUAUAUCUCUAACAGAAGGGCAAGGCAAAAGUGUUUUUCAAAAAGAUUGAAGACUUAAGUCUCGGGCAAUGGCUCUUCACAACCUGUGUGGGGUGAAGGUGGAGCUCAGGGUGGCUCUGCUACCAGUAGCCUUCAGACAUGUGAAGCUGCAGACAGGCGAGAGCAGCUUCGCAUGUCAAAGAGGAACAGUUGUAUCAUCCCCUCCUCCCCAGAUACACACACCAAAGAAGAAAAAGGUGAUCAACAAUAUGCCAGGGUAGAGGCCUGCAGAGAAGGCUAUUAAGCCAGUGACGGCUGUCAACAACAAAUGCUCAGUUUGCUCAAUUAUAUUUAAUUCUAAAGCAGACAAACUUUUCAGGAAAAGUUUGAUAUAGCGGAUGGACGUCAGCGGAGGUAACUAGAGUCAUGGAUCGGGACCAGGGCAUAACUUGCCAACAACAAAAAAAAGAGAAAAUUUUAGUGUGGUGUAAAAGUAAAACAGAAUGACAAGAGAGAAGUAAGUUCAGAAUUGAAAAGAUGCAGGUCUUUAUUCUACAUGGUGAAAGAGGAAUUUUUAGUGGAUUUUUGGAUUUACCAGUGAAACCUGUGAAGUGUUAGUGAAGCAGAAUAGUUACAGAUCACAAGAGAUGCAGGUCUUUGUUCAGCUUGGUGUAUAUGGAAAACAUAGUGGAUGGCCAGCUAGAAAAUAUUUAAGGAGUCUAUAGGACUGUGAUGUGUGUACCAGUCUAUCAGGCUAUCCCAUUCUGUCCAGUCAACAAAUUUGCAGUGGCUACAUGGAUUCUCAUGUAACUUGAGCAAUAUAUGAGGCAGAGCUAUCAGCAGAUUGCCAGAGACACAGCAAGAAGUACCCAUUUUUUUCCACAUGUAUGGCCAUGAACAGAUUUUCACAGAAAAAGUAAGAAAAUGCUCUCACAUUGGUGUUCCUGUUAAACAAACAAAAAGGGAGUUGCUGGAGGUAUUGCUAUAGAUGCAGAUGAUCAUAGAUUUGUAUGACCUGGUAACUGGAGUGCAAAGUCAGACAAAACAGCACCAGUUGCUGAGGUCCAAGUUUCCCAGAAAUGGAUAAUUUUAAGGCCCAGUGGAAUCAGAGAUUACAUUUAUUGGUGAUAAUUUGACAAAGCCUGAGUUGUAAAGUUUUUACAUGAGACAGUUAGGGAGAGCGAGUUUACAUUUUGAUGGAACCACGUUACAGGUAUUUCUCCAUUACAGAAGGAACUGUAUGCCUGGAAGAUUUAUUAUGCCAACGAAGAAUCACAGUGCCAUAUGUGUGUUGCAGUAUCAGACAGAAUCCUAGGAAACCCAUACUAAAUAAAGGACCAACACAAUCAGACAAGUUGGCAUGAUUUUACUUUCAAGAAUGGUUACAGUCUGCCCAAGAUUCAAGUCUGAAGAUACCAUUGGCCGAUCUUAGAAUCUUUUUUUUAUACCCCCACAAAACUAAGUUUGGGGGGUAUAUAGGAGUGAGCUUGUCGGUCAGUCGGUCGAACCGUUGGUUUUCAUGGUUUCCAGACAAUAAUUCAUGAAAAGUUUGACAGAUUUAGAUUUAUUUUGCUACACAGGUGUAACAUUAUAAAAUACAGGUCAAGUUUGACUUUGAGGUCAGUAGGUCAAAGAUCAAGGUCACAAUGACCCAGAACAGUUAAACGGUUUCCAGAUGAAAACUUGAGAAAGCUAGGGCCAAGGAUCAUAAAUUUUGGUAAACAGGUGUAACAUCAUAAAAUACAGGCCAAAUUCCACUGAGGUCAAAGGUCAAGGUCACAUUGACCUGGAACUGUUAUAUUGUUUCCGGAUGAUAACUUGAGAAUUCUUGGGGCUAGGAUCAUAAAUUUUGGUACACAGGUAGAACAUUAUAAAAUAUAAGUCAAGUUCGACUUUCAGGUCAGUAGGUCAAGGAUCAAGGUCACAAUGACCAGGAACAGUAGAACAGUUUCCGGAUGAUAACUUGAGGACUCUUAGGCGUAGGAUCAUGAAAGUUGAUAAGGAGGUUGGUCAUGACCAGCAGAUGACCCCUGUUGAUUUUGAGGUCAGUAGGUCAAAGGUCAAGGUCACAGUUACCCGGAACAGUUAAAUCGUUUCCGAACGAUAACUUGAGAACGCUUGGGCCUAGGAUCACAAAACUUAAUAGGGAGGUUGAUCAUGACCAGCAGAUGACCCCUAUAGAUUUUCAACUUUGACACUGGCUUACUUCUGUGACAAGGCCAUAUUGUGGGGUUAUAUUCCAUCACUCCAAUGACAGCUCUAGUUUAGGUUUAAGUUUAAAAAUGACAUUGACUUAAGACUACAUGUAUACUGUUUUCAGUCAAAGGCUUUCCUCUGUUUUUUUUUUGUUUUGUUUUUUAUCAACAUACCGGUAUUAAGAUCUGGAAAAGUCAUUAUUACAAAAAUAUUGUAACAGACUUCCUAAUAUUUGGCAAGCUGAUCUAUUCCAUCUGCAUUCUUGAAGUUUACUGCUUAAGAGUAAUAAUUAAAACUGGAAAUGAUGAUUUUAUAAGUUUCAUUUUUGAAAAUUUUGAACAGUUUUUCAUAAACUGAAGAAUCUGGAAACACCUUGAUACAUUAUUGAUUAUUACAUUAUAAAGUGCUGGUCCAUAGUUAGUGCUGUUGGCCAGUCUAUAGUUCAGGCCCCAAUUUCACGAAAAAAAAUUAAGUAAUUGUUAAGCUAAGUCAGUUAAUUCAAAUGCUUGUUUUUGCCCUUUGUCUUCAAUGUUGACUUUUUCAUCUAUAUCAGAACCUUAUAUGACUAUUUCAUAGAUCAAAACACAACAAUUCUGAAUUUUGCAGAAAGCCAAGUACAUGUAUAGAAAUAAGAAAUUUACUUAAGCAAAUACUUCGUUAUAUUGUGCUUAAAUAGAAAUAUCAUAUAUUAUUAUUCAACUUUACAAUAUUAUACACUGUAUUAGAUCAAUUGCAAACAUCAUAUGAAACAGACAGAGCUAAUACAAAACAUAACUUAGCCAAUAUGAGAAAAACAGGGCCAGUACGAGAAAAACAGGGCCAAUAUGGAAUUCUAGCAUUUUGAUUGGUUCAAAAGAGAGGGCCAAUACGGAGAAGCCACUUCCGUUAGAUUUUUAAAUGACGCCAUUUUGUUUUACAUCAGAGUUAUAGAUUAUAUUUUUUUUUUUACAUUUUGACAAAAAAUCAUUUAAUAACCAAGUAUGACUGAGCGGGAUGUACGUCUUCAGAGAUUACAACGAUACUUUCGCUUAUUCGGUAUUUUGUAAAAUGCAGGUGUUUCCUGUCAGAAAUUCUGGCAGUUGUCAAGGAAAAUAAUAAGAAAAUAUGGAAACUCAGAUUAAUUAAAAGGAUGAGACUCACCUUUAACAGACAUUUUGAUAGUGUGGACUAUUUGUGCAAUGAUAAAUAGCGAUUCAAAUGCUGGAAAGUGCAUGAAUAGAUUGGCGAACAAGAGUGUCAGUUGUGAACUGCAAACAACUGAACAAUUUCGGAUAAGAAUUAAACGAGGCAUGGGACUAUAUAAUAUGUGGUUGGUUGGUUGUAUUAUCUUGAUCAACACAUGUGUAUAAUUUUGUGUCUCGUUGCUUGCAGCCUAAAAGGAAAUGACUUUUAAAGCAGUUUUUAUCACUGUUCAAAUGAUAAGAUACUCUCUAAAGAAAAUAAAUAGGAAUUCCAAAAAAUAAGGUAAGUUCCAGUUACUCUUGAUUAUGUCACAUUAAAAAUAUCUCUCAAAAUUAUUCUCAAGUACCUACAUACAACUCAUUCUGUUUUACUGGCGAAAAUGAUCAUGGUUUGUAAAAUACGUCAAAACAACUUGUCAAGAUUUUUCACCUGAACUUGCAUAGCUGUCAUAAGGUAACUCACAGAGUUCUUACGGUGUUACCGUCAACAGUUGAAAGUUGAAUAAUAAUAUUAUCAUUAAUCAAGCGAUUUCAUAUUGGCCUAGUUAUUUGUCCUCGGGCAGUCGUAUUGGCCCUCGGCCUACGGCCUCGGGCCAAUACGACAACCCUUGGACAAAUAACAAGGCCAAUAUGAAAUUGCUUGAUUAAUAACAUUAUAAAAUUUGCCUGACUGAAAUAAGUACUGCAGACAAAUACUACUAACCACAUAGAAUUAAGCUAUAAAUAAAUUGUUAUGGAAAAUAACCAACAUGAACUAACAAUAACUUAAGCAAUAGCACGAUUUUAGAUAACAGACUUAACUAAGUAAUUACUUAAGUUUUUUCAUUAAAUAGGGGCCAGCCCUAAAUUUGCUUGGCAAAAGUCAAAAUUGGAAAGAAAAAAUAGGAAAUAUCAUUUCUGAUGUCAUGUAAUAAAAUAUUUAUUGAAUGGCAGGGUGGUCAUUAGUCAAAAUUAUUACGUGACUCCUAUGAGGCGCCGGUCCAUAGUUUGUAUAACAUGACCAGUUCACAAUCACACAUGUUUUUUAGACAUUUAAAAAUAAAGGUGUGAAAAUUAAUUUUUUAUAUCAUGUAUUAAACACUUACUGAAUGGCUCACCCGUUAAUAGUCAAAACUAUUAGCCCUAAGUCAUUUGGACCUUGGGCAAUAGUUUCAACUAUUGACUAGCAAGCAAUUAAAUAAGUAUGGGCUAUUGACCAUUGGUCCUCUGGCAAUACGGUACAACUAUCGACCUUCAGUGGUCAAUGGUUAAAAUUAUACAGCCAAAUAAAUGACUAUAGACCCUCAUCAGAAAACUAUCGACUGAGACAAAGGCAAGGGCAGUAGGAUACUGAUGAUGGUCAAUAGUCAUUUUCCAGUUUUAAACCCAAUGACCAUUUUAAAGGCAGGUUGUUGUUCUAUUGUAUUAAGUAGCAGUAAAAAGAAUUUCAAUGGAAGAACACCUUUUGGUGUUCAGUGCCACCUUGAUAUACUGUAUGUCGAGGUUACAUCAUUUCUAUUAUUGUUUUGGUUUCCAGGCAGAGUUUUGGUAAAAUUAUGGGUAGAAAUAUUAUAAAUAGUCUUUGAUGGUAUUUGUUUAGUUUACCUGAGCACAAAAAGAUCCCGAUGAGCAGUUGUGAUUGCCCUAUGUCAGAAGUACAUCAUCAUUGACUGUCAUCAACAAUUUCACUGGAGGUCACAAUUUUGUCCAACUCUUGGUGAAAAUUGAUCAAUAAAAUCUGGACAAGCUUCUCCUUGGCUAGGUUAUCUUGGAUCAAAAUCUAGGUCGUGAGGUCACUUUGUUAACACCCUAGAGGCCACAUUUUCUACAUCCUCUUCAUAAUACUUAGAAUGUUUGAUGCCACAUUCCCUACUUGACUUUCUUAUAAGCUUUGUCAGAAUAUCAAUAUGAAAUUUAGAUCAGGUUCUAAACUUGUUUGCCAGAGGUCAAAAACUAAGUAAGUUGAAUCAUAGAAAAACGUCACUGACACUCUAGGGGCAACAUUUGCUGCUUUGGAUUCAGUGUUGUUGGCUCACCUGAGCCAAAGGGCUCUGGGUUAGCUGUUGUGAUCACUCGCCAUCCGGCGUCCGUCCACACUUUCCUUUAAACAAUAUCUCCUCCUAAACCAUCACUUUAAUUUUGAUGAAACUUCACUGGAAUGAUCCUUGGAUGGUCCCCGUUCAAAAUUGUUCAAAGAAUUUAAUUCCACACAGAACUCUGGUUGCCGUGGCAACUGAAAGGAAAAACUUUAAAAAUCUUCUUGUCCAAAACCGCAAGGGGUAGAGCCUCAAUAUUUGGCAUGUAACAUCAUCUAUUGGUCCUCUAUGAAGUUUGUUCAAAUUAUGUCCCUGGGGUUAAAAGAGGUCCCACCCCGGGGGACCUAAGUUUUACAUAGACUUAUAUAGGAAAAAACUAAAAGUCUUCUUGUCUGAAACCACAAGACCUAGGCCUUUGAUAUUUGGUAUGUAGCUUGCCUUGUGGUCCUCUACUAAGUUUGUUCAAAUUAUGCCCCUGGGGUGAAAAGAGGCCCCACCCCAGGGGGUAUCAAGUUUAACAUAGACUUAUAUAGGAAAAAACUUUAAAAAAUCUUUUUAUCUGAAACUACAAGGCCUAGGCUUUUGAUAUUUGGUAUGUUGCGUUGCCUAAUGGUCCUUUACCAAGAUUAUUCAAAUUAUGCUCCUGAGGGGAAAACAGGCCCCGCCCAGGGAGUCCCAAGUUUUACAUAGGCUUAUAUAGGAAGAAACUUUAAAAAUCUUCUUAACUGAAACUGCAAGGCCUAGGCUUUUGAUAUUUGGUUUGUUGCUUGCCUUGUGGUCCUCUACCAUAAGUGUUCAAAUUAUGCCCCUGGGUUGAAAAUAGGCCCUGCCCCAGGGGCCCCAAGUUUUACAUAGACUUAUAUAGGAAAAAAAAUUAAAAUCUUCUUGUCUGAAAGUCCAAGGCUUGAGCCUUUGAUAUUUGGUAUGUAGCAUUGCCUAGUGGUUCUCUUACAAGAUUGUUCAAAUAUGCCCCUUGAGUGAAAAGAGCCCCCCCCCUCUGGGGAUCACUUGUAUAUGAGUUAUAUAGGAAAGAAUAUCUCAAAAAUUAUCAGAUCAUAUUACCUAGAUUGCUUAAUUAUAAUUACCUUGACCUACUGGCCUACUUUCUUGUUUUUAGCUCACCUGAGCAAGAAGUGCUCAAAGGUAAGCUUUUGUGAUCGCCCUGUGUCCGUAGUCCCUCCGUCCAUCGUCAACAGUUUGACUGUUAAUACUCUAGAGGUCACAAUUUUGGCCCAAUCUUAAUGAAACUUGGUCAGAAUGUUACUCUCAAUAAAAUCUUGGACGAGUUCGAUAUUGGGUCAUCUGAGGUCAAAAACUAGGUCACCAGGUCAAAUGAAAGGACAAGCUUGUUAACACUCUAGAGGUAACAAUUUUGGCCCAAUCUUAAUGAAACUUGGUCAGAAUGUUACUCUCAAUAAAAUCUUGGACGAGUUUGAUAUUGGGUCAUCUGGGGUCAAAAACUAGGUCACCAGGUCAAAUGAAAGGAAAAGCUUGUUAACACUCUAGAGGUCACAAUUUUGGCCCAAUCUUAAUGAAACUUGGUCAGAAUGUUACCCUAAAUAAAAUCUUGGACGAUUUUGAAAUUGGGUCAUCUGGGGUUAAAAACUAGGUCACCAGGUCAAAUCAAAGGAAAAGCUAGUUAACACUCUAGAGGCCACAUUUAAGACUGUAUCUUCAUGAAUCUGGGUCAUGUAGGAUCAAAAACUAGGUCACCAGGUCAAAUCAAAGGAAAAGCUAGUUAACACUGUAGAGGUCACAUUUAUGACCAUAUCUUAAUGAAGUUUGGUCAGAAUGUUGAUCUUGAUCUAUAGGUCAAGUUCAAAUCUGGGUCAGGUGGGGUCAAAAACCAGGUCAGUAGGUCAAAUCAAAGGAAAAGCUUGUUAACACUUUAGAGACCACAUUUAUAACCAUAUCUUAAUGAAACUUGGUCAGAAUGUUAAUCUUGAUGAUCUUUAGGUCAAUAGGUCAGGUGAGCGAUACAGGGCCUUCAAGGCCCUCUUGUUUAAGAUACAGCCUUGAAUUUUGGAUGACAUGUACAGUUUUGCACACCGAUCAGAACAGCAUAGAAAUUUGGACCACGUCAAUAACUUACGAUAAUGAUUUCAAUACUCAUCUUUAAAGUUCUUAGCCCUGACCUACUGACCUACUUCCUUGGUUUUGAAGCUACUGCAAAGAGAGUUGUAUAAUUUUUAACAGAUUUCAGUACUUAUCUUGAAGAAUAUUUACCAUGAUCUUCUCACCUAGUUUUUUUUUUGUAUUUGAAGCUCUAGCAAAGAAAUUUGUUCAAGCAAGCAAUUAAACUCAGGUGAGCGAUAUAGGGCCAUCAUGGACCUCUUGUUUUUAUUUUAGAUUUAUAAAUACUUUGUCACAAGCAAGAUCUAAUUAGGUCAAGGUCUGCCUCAGGUGAGCGACUUCCAGUUGGGCCUCUUAUUAUCUUUAAAUCCACUUUACUACAACUGAUCGAGACUUUCAGACCUGGAUUAAUUUUUGUUUAUAAAUUCUUUCUUAGUAUUUCCUUGUUACAGAGGAACGUUUUGUUGAAUUUGCCAUAGUUGGAUGUUCCAUUAAAGCUUUCUCUUUCAUGCUUUAAAAAAGUUCACAGAAGUUUCCCUUCCUUGUCUCUUUUCCAUGUUGCUUGAAAACAUAUCAGGUAAGUGAUAUAUGAUGCAUUUUGACAACGUGGAAUAAAAAAACAUAGCAAACUGAAUUUCUUUCUUUGUUCGCAACACAUGCAGUGUAAUGCAAAUUGUGUUUUCCAGUGUCCUGGAUUUCUCAAUAAAAUUGUGUUGCUUUGGUUUACUUGGCAUUUGAUGAUAAAGACCUUUGAACUGAAGCAACUUUAUAUUAAUUCCUUUUUCAAAUAUGGUAAUUGCCUUGUGAAAAGCAAGAAUGAUAUAUGAGCCACACCAUGAGAAAACCAACACUUUGGGACCAGCAUGGAUUCAGACCAGCCUGCGCAUC
Long non-coding RNA from Mercenaria mercenaria, 9996 nucleotides. RefSeq lists it as uncharacterized. The record is from RefSeq and is a predicted model, not a curated record. The transcript is spliced from 13 exons. NCBI's taxonomy places the organism in Eukaryota, Metazoa, Mollusca, Bivalvia, Venerida, Veneridae.